Molecule: ribosomal RNA, 465 nt
Filed under: Vreelandella stevensii
Lineage: Bacteria; Pseudomonadati; Pseudomonadota; Gammaproteobacteria; Oceanospirillales; Halomonadaceae
Description: partial 16S ribosomal RNA
Rfam family: Bacterial small subunit ribosomal RNA
Source: RNAcentral
CCUACGGGCUGCUGCAGUGGGGAAUAUUGGACAAUGGGCGAAAGCCUGAUCCAGCCAUGCCGCGUGUAUGAAGAAGGCCUUCGGGUUGUAAAGCACUUUCAGUGGGGAAGAAAGCCUUGGGGCUAAUACCCUCGAGGAAGGACAUCACCCACAGAAGAAGCACCGGCUAACUCCGUGCCAGCAGCCGCGGUAAUACGGAGGGUGCGAGCGUUAAUCGGAAUUACUGGGCGUAAAGCGCGCGUAGGCGGUCUGAUAAGCCGGUUGUGAAAGCCCCGGGCUCAACCUGGGAACGGCAUCCGGAACUGUCAGGCUAGAGUGCAGGAGAGGAAGGUAGAAUUCCCGGUGUAGCGGUGAAAUGCGUAGAGAUCGGGAGGAAUACCAGUGGCGAAGGCGGCCUUCUGGACUGACACUGACGCUGAGGUGCGAAAGCGUGGGUAGCAAACAGGAUUAGAUACCCCAGUAGUC